GUGCUUACUUAGGCAGCACAUAUACUAAAAUUGGAAUGAUACAGAGAUUAGCAUGGCCCCUACACAAGAAUGAUACACAAAUUUAUGAAGCGUUCCAUAUUUUU
Molecule: small nuclear RNA, 104 nt
Organism: Cervus elaphus (red deer)
Lineage: Eukaryota; Metazoa; Chordata; Mammalia; Artiodactyla; Cervidae
Source: RefSeq, a predicted model, not a curated record